This 70-nucleotide transfer RNA is filed under the name Loxodonta africana (African savanna elephant). It matches the Rfam family "tRNA". Rfam says of the family: Transfer RNA (tRNA) molecules are approximately 80 nucleotides in length. Their secondary structure includes four short double-helical elements and three loops (D, anti-codon, and T loops). Further hydrogen bonds mediate the characteristic L-shaped molecular structure. tRNAs have two regions of fundamental functional importance: the anti-codon, which is responsible for specific mRNA codon recognition, and the 3' end, to which the tRNAs corresponding amino acid is attached (by aminoacyl-tRNA synthetases). tRNAs cope with the degeneracy of the genetic code in two manners: having more than one tRNA (with a specific anti-codon) for a particular amino acid; and 'wobble' base-pairing, i.e. permitting non-standard base-pairing at the 3rd anti-codon position. Lineage: Eukaryota; Metazoa; Chordata; Mammalia; Proboscidea; Elephantidae. The record is from Rfam by way of RNAcentral.
GCUUGGUGGUUCAGUGAUAGAAUUCCUGCCUUCCGUGCAGGAGACACGGGAUUAAUCCCUGGCCAAUGCA